RNAcentral lists this long non-coding RNA (261 nucleotides) under Brassica rapa (field mustard). RNAcentral's name for it is "long non-coding RNA (BRAP_LNC007497)". The record is from RNAcentral. Lineage: Eukaryota; Viridiplantae; Streptophyta; Magnoliopsida; Brassicales; Brassicaceae.
UAAAAGUGAGAUAAUCAUAGCUUAUAUACACACACGCACACACAGAAUAAUAGGAACUUAUUACUCGGCUGCAUUGAUAAAUAUUGUCACCAAUUAAGACACCAUUAGUUUGAAACGUUUGAUAUUUUUUACAAAAUAAACAAAUGAGUUAUUUUAAAAACAUUAGACUUAUGAAAGUUCCCUUAAUUUAAUGUGUGGUUGCUAACUUAUGAGAAAUUCAACCAAAGUUUUUGCUAGCAAGUAUACAAAUUGCGGUGAAAA